GCUGACCCGCGUCACUGCUCUCUCUGCUUGUUUUAAAUGACAACUGACUUCAGUCUCUAGUGAUUCACUAACACAAUGGCUUCCCACUUUUUGCUGAUGUGUCUUGCGCUGGUCUUUGCUCACCAUUCUAGUGGACAGAAUAUUCUGACUCAGACUCCAAAGUUUCAUUCUGUUCUAUUAGGACAAAGUGUCUCCAUCAAGUGCAAAGCUCAAAGCUCCAUAAGCUACCUGCAUUGGUACCUGCAGAGAGCUGGUGAAAAGCCUAAACUUCUGAUCUAUGAAACAAGCAACCGUGCCUCUGGGAUCCCAGCACGUUUCACUGGGAGUGGAUCAGGGACCGACUACACUUUGACCAUCAGUGAUAUCCAGACUGAGGAUGUAGGUGUCUAUUACUGUCACCAACCUUGGGUACCUGACACACAGUGAUAAACAGUCGAACAA
Erpetoichthys calabaricus (reedfish) is the source of this 441-nucleotide non-coding RNA. The record is from the annotation of a RefSeq genome assembly. Lineage: Eukaryota; Metazoa; Chordata; Cladistia; Polypteriformes; Polypteridae.